RNA transcript from Cololabis saira (Pacific saury), 1891 nucleotides. It is a transcript of the gene named ubiquitin carboxyl-terminal hydrolase 2-like, with no coding region annotated. The record is from RefSeq and is a predicted model, not a curated record. Lineage: Eukaryota; Metazoa; Chordata; Actinopteri; Beloniformes; Belonidae. The transcript is spliced from 10 exons.
UGCGCCUCCUUCAACGUCUCACUGGUUUGGAAAGUGAAAGUGUGCAGGACUCACAGUGUAAACCAAGUGGCUGUUGCAGGUAAAACUUUCUACAAAACGUCAUCAUGAGUUAUAUAUUAGACAGAUUCAGACAGGAGCUAGACAAGUUUACAAUCUCAGAUUACCAUGGACUGAGCAGCCCAGGUGUUACAUGCUACCUGAACAGCGUGCUUCAGGUGCUCUUCAUGACUGCGGACUACCGGGAGGCUGUGAUAAGCAGUAGAGAUUCAACAAGCUUUGACUGUUACGUGGGAAGACUGUUCACAGUUUUACAGCGGAUGAUGGCCAAAACACAUGAUGUCACGCACAAGCUGGGCAUCACAGACGGUAACGUUUUUUGCAGCAUUGUGUUGCUGCUUAUCUUAAAUUUGGUUCUUAUAUGUCAAACUUCUGCAGCAUCUUGAGACACACUGAUUUCACAAAGAUUUCUUUUCUUUUUUUGUCUUUUACUUUCAGUAUUCAAACAACAUGAUGCAGCAGAGUAUUUUGAGAAAAUGUUGAGUCUGAGUAGCCCAGAAGCUUCCAAGAUAUUCCAGGGAGAGCUGAACCACAUCACCACAUGCCUCAAGUGUAAAGAGCAUGAGGAAUCCAGGAGCUCUUUUUGGACUUUGCCACUGGCUAUGAACGUUUCCAGUGGUCAGGCUUACAGUGUGGUACUGUGAUUUCAUUCAUGUCUUUUAUUUAUUCAUUUAUUUAAUAAAGACAGGAAAUCAUGACUUUUUCAUAUUCACCAAAACACAGUCGGUUGGUUUGUUUUACAGGAGAAUGGGUUGCACUUGUUUGUUAGAGGAGAAAAAGUCAUUGGGGACAACAAGCUGUACUGCAACUUUUGCAAGAAAAAGCAGACCACAAACAUGAUUUGUGAGAUAAUGAAGCAUCCAGAGGUUCUGACCCUCCUGCUCAAGAGAUUCACUUUCAGCUUAAAGCAUAAUUGCUACGUCAAGCUUCACUGUAAGGUGGAUGUCCCCCGGACUGUGAACAUGAAGAGGUGCAGGUAUGACCUCUAUGCAUUAGUUAACCACCAUGGCCAUCUAAAAGGAGGUCAUUAUACCACUCAAGUCAAAUCCUUUGAGAAUGGGGAGUGGUAUGACUUCAGUGACAUAAAUGUCACAAAGAUCAGACCUGCAUUUGGGGCUGGAAAGAACCAUGUGAGGUCCAAUAGUGCAUAUCUUCUCAUGUACAAGAAAGUAAACAGACAUUGUGAAUGAAAACUUCAGCAUCCAGAGGGCUCACUCUUCCCACUCAAGCGAGGAAGCUGAAGGAAGACAAAGGAAGGCAGAGACGAGAUGCUGCUGAGAGUUAUUACUGAUAUUCCAGUGAAAGUGAAGACUUGGAGGACUUGACUGGUGAGAAAAGAACCAUAAUGAUAAGAGAAAACAUAUGAGCUGCUCCAAGAUACGAGAUGAACAAAUCAGAGAGCAGCAAGAGUGAGGCCACACCGGAGUGCUUCCUUCAAACAGACACUGUAGCUAAUAGAGGCAGGUUAACACAUCAUUGUUGCAAAAAUCAAAGUAAUAAUGGUGAAAACCCUACAAGAGAUGGAAAAACUAUGUUCGUGAGAUGAAAAAAGAUAAAUGCAUCAGUCAACCCUGCAGAAAGAUAAGCACAAAAGAAGAAAAAUGCAGCAUUUAUUCAUUGUUUAGCAAAAUAGAUGGCACACAAAUAUGAAAAAAGGGAGAAAAGAGGCAGAUAUCUGUCAUAAAAGUUAAAAAAGUGUCAAGAAAUGGUUAUCUGUUUGUGUUAAAAUGGCAAGAAAAAGAUGUUUUUAUUGUACCUAAAUUGUAAUUGUCAUUUAGAUUUACACUACCCCCCCUUCCAAGUUUUUUAUGAAAAUGUAUAUGAAAUCUCAUUA